GUUCAUGCUUUUACAGUAUGAAAAUUGGUGAUUUAUAAUAACUUAGCAAAUCGCAAAGUGAAAACAGGCGAUAAAUCAUUCAAGUUUCUGACCUAUCAGCUUUCGACGGUAUGGUAUUGGCUUACCGUGGCAGUGACGGUUAACGGGGGAUUAGGGUUCGAUUCCGGAGAGGGAGCCUGAGAAACGGCUACCACAUCUAAGGAAGGCAGCAGGCGCGCAAAUUACCCAAUUCUAACAGUUUGAGAGAGGUAGUAACAAGAAAUAACAAUACAAGGCAGUUAAAAUGCUUUGUAAUUGGAAUGAUAGAAAUUUAAACCCUUUUUAAAGUAUCAAUUGGAGGGCAAGUCUGGUGCCAGCAGCCGCGGUAAUUCCAGCUCCAAUAGCGUAUAUUAAAAUUGUUGCAGUUAAAAAGCUCGUAGUUGAAGUUCUGCUGAAAGUAACCGGUCUGCUUUUAAUAAAAGUGGUAUCUUGGUAUGUAUUUAGCAAUGAUGUCCUUUGAAGUGUUUUUUACUUUAUUGUAAUAAAGCAUAUUCAGGACUUUUACUUUGAGAAAAUUAGAGUGUUUCUAGCAGGCUGACGCUUUGAAUACUGCAGC
RNAcentral lists this ribosomal RNA (595 nucleotides) under Hepatozoon canis. Its description in RNAcentral is "SSU rRNA". It matches the Rfam family "Eukaryotic small subunit ribosomal RNA", at positions 224 to 808 of the family's 1831-position model. Lineage: Eukaryota; Apicomplexa; Hepatozoidae. The record is from RNAcentral.